RNAcentral lists this long non-coding RNA (236 nucleotides) under Lathyrus oleraceus (garden pea). RNAcentral describes it as "Pisum sativum (pea) long non-coding RNA (PSAT_LNC030739)". The record is from RNAcentral. Lineage: Eukaryota; Viridiplantae; Streptophyta; Magnoliopsida; Fabales; Fabaceae.
CUACUUCUAGGAUCGAAGUGGUUAACUAGGGAUUAAAUCCUGAUCUCUCCAGUGUUUUAGGGAUUUGAAACAAUUCUUGUACAUCAUUAGCAGGAUUUUAUCCGAAAGCAUACAAUCAUAAUUAUGGGUGUUUUGUUUUCGUCGUUCUCCCUCAAAUGUUUUCUAAAACAACAGUUAUGAUAAAUAAAGUGAAAUGGAGAAACAUGGAUGUAUUUUUUAUUUUAGAUAUAAGAGAA